This 460-nucleotide ribosomal RNA is filed under the name uncultured bacterium. Its description in RNAcentral is "partial 16S ribosomal RNA". It matches the Rfam family "Bacterial small subunit ribosomal RNA", at positions 338 to 795 of the family's 1533-position model. The record is from RNAcentral.
CCUACGGGUGACAGCAGUGAGGAAUAUUGGUCAAUGGGCGAGAGCCUGAACCAGCCAAGUCGCGUGAAGGAUGACGGCCCUACGGGUUGUAAACUUCUUUUGUCAGGGAGCAAUUGGGUCCACGCGUGGGCUUAGCGAGAGUACCUGAAGAAAAAGCAUCGGCUAACUCCGUGCAAGCAGCCGCGGUAAUCCGGAGGAUGCGAGCGUUAUCCGGAUUUAUUGGGUUUAAAGGGUGCGUAGGCGGAAUAUCAAGUCAGCGGUAAAAAUUGGGGUCUCAACCCCGUCGUGCCGUUGAAACUGAUGUUCUUGAGUGGGCGAGAAGUAUGCGGAAUGCGUGGUGUAGCGGUGAAAUGCAUAGAUAUCACGCAGAACUCCGAUUGCGAAGGCAGCAUACCGGCGCCCAACUGACGCUGAAGCACGAAAGCGUGGGUAGCGAACAGGAUUAGAUACCCCGGUAGUC